GGGGUCGCUGCAGGGAGCAGCACUGGUCCGGCGUUCCGAAAUUUGGUCCAGUCAGCCUUUCCACGAAUACCAUUUGUUUGUGACCGGCCAAAUGCACUGAUCUUCCAGGCAGCAUGUGAUUGGUAUCCCCAACCCGGUCGGGAGGUAGUGUCCGUGCAGCUGGGUGAUCAGGGACGACGUAUUGUACACGGAGAUCGCAUUGUAAACCUCAAACUCAAAUCGUCCAAUAGGAAUAGAGGCAGGAUCUUCACAGGAAUAUAUAUGUGUGAGACAUGGGAAGCACCAUCUUGAAAAAGAUGUACAAGUUGCAACAUGUUGGUAUCGUGCUGCUAGCUACGCCAUAUUGAAGUUGUAAACCACCAUUUGGACCACUCGUCCACAGGAGAUCUCCCCCCUAGAAGCAGGAAAUGAAGUCAGCUAGGAAGCUGAAGGGCAGUGACACAGCACAAAUGACAAGCCAGCAGCAACAAAGUCCCUUUUUCUCACAUUACCGCAGAUCGCUUAUGAUAUGAUGCAUCUUUAUAAAACUACUAUGACUUACCUACCUGCUGCAGAGGUUUGUUCCAUUGAUAUAGCCUGGGAGAACAGUACCUGAUACAACAUCACACCUUCCUGCUGCAGAGCUUGCAUCUCAGCUCCCUGUCAGAUCAUUGGGAAGGACCUUAUCAGGUGUUGCUGAUGACUCCAACAGCUGUUAAAGUCAGAGAGAAGUUUACCUGGAUAGACAUAUUGCAUUGUAAAAAGGUUCACUACAACCCACCCAAAGACCAACCUGAGGACAGUCAGCUGACAACUUCACUGGUUCUGUUUCCAAAGAUGUAAUUCCCUGGCCAGGAAGAAGAUUCUGCAAUCAGAUUAUGUUCCAAUGUACAGAGAGACGAUGCCCCACAAUCAAUGUUUUCUACCUGAGAAACCACCUCCAAACUAUGUAUAUUAUGUGGUGAACUUUCUUCCUAGUCCAGAAGGAGGUCAAGCAAACGUAUAUGAGAGAGUGGGCAAUAAUGUGUGACAAAGGAAUUUGUCAAAAGGAGGAAUUGUCAAGGAAAUGAGAAUCCAUAAAACCAGAAG
Pseudophryne corroboree (corroboree frog) is the source of this 1068-nucleotide long non-coding RNA. RefSeq lists it as uncharacterized. NCBI's taxonomy places the organism in Eukaryota, Metazoa, Chordata, Amphibia, Anura, Myobatrachidae. The transcript is spliced from 5 exons. The record is from RefSeq and is a predicted model, not a curated record.